UACGUAGGGUGCGAGCGUUAAUCGGAAUUAUUGGGCGUAAAGCGCGCGCAGGCGGUCAUUUAAGUUUGGUGUUUAAUUCCAGGGCUCAACCCUGGGUCGCACUGAAAACUGGGUGACUUGAGUACAGAAGAGGAGAGUGGAAUUCCACGUGUAGCGGUGAAAUGCGUAGAUAUGUGGAGGAACACCAGUGGCGAAGGCGACUCUCUGGGCUGUAACUGACGCUGAGGCGCGAAAGCGUGGGUAGCAAACAGG
RNAcentral lists this ribosomal RNA (252 nucleotides) under uncultured bacterium. Its description in RNAcentral is "partial 16S ribosomal RNA". It matches the Rfam family "Bacterial small subunit ribosomal RNA", at positions 524 to 776 of the family's 1533-position model. The record is from RNAcentral.